This is a long non-coding RNA of Passer domesticus (house sparrow), 1004 nucleotides long. RefSeq lists it as uncharacterized. NCBI's taxonomy places the organism in Eukaryota, Metazoa, Chordata, Aves, Passeriformes, Passeridae. The record is from RefSeq and is a predicted model, not a curated record. The transcript is spliced from 3 exons.
GGUGAUGUUGGAGAGAAAAAAAGCCUGGAAGGUUAAAGACCUCAGGAAGACAGCUGUCCCUUGUCACCUCCACCACCAGGCAGGACUUAAACCUGCAGACUCCUGAUCCGUAGUUAGAUGCGUUCAUGAUCCACUGAGCAACUGGCCCCAGGCUCUGAUCCCACCUGCUGUCCUCACUUCAGGACCACAUGGAUUUAUUGGUGGUUAAAGGGAAGUGGCAGGAUCUCACCUUGCUCCCCCCUGCCCAUUCCAUGUCAGCCUUGCCCUCCUCACUUGUGGUCCCACUGGUUCCACCACCCAGGAGAGGAGAUGCCUCUGCUGAGCUCCAGGCUCAGCUCAGCUGCUCUGGAGGGCUGGAGGGCACAUCUUGCCUUCCUAUGGGAUGUGUGGUUAAAUUUCCCAGGCCUUAUAGAACUCUCUGUGGUGCCCAAUGGAGGAGAAAGCUUAGCCCAAGGCCAUGUCCACUUGCUCCAGCCUGGUGACAGAGGGAUGGGCAGAUAUCCCCUGGACUGACCAUAGCACCCCAUGUUACCCUGCCAGGCAAGCAUGUCCAGAAGUGACUGAGCCCGGAGUUAAAAAGUUUCCUGCAUUUUCCUGAGGAAGGCAUUAACUCCUUCUUGAGGGAUCCUGUACAAGGGUGGAGUUUUCCUCUGAAGCUGUAGAUGGGCCUGGUCUUCCUCUGGGAAUCCAGUGGAGAAGAAAGCUGCUCCUCUGGGAAUCCAGUGCAAAAGGCUGCUGUGGUGUGCCAAAUCUCAGAUUAUAUCCAGGUAGGAAUGCUUGGCUCCUCCCCCUGGGUGGAGCAUCUCCCAAUGGGAUUAUGUAAUUUUUCAGCCAUGCAAUGACACUCACUGGCUCAUGAACAGAAGAUAUUUCCUGGAUUGGUUGUGGAAGAGACAAAGAAAAGCUGCCCAAUUAACAGAAAAUACCUGCCCCACCUCCAACAGAUGGAAAUAGAAUACACACCCCCAGCCCAAGACCCCCUCCCACAGAACAGCUCCCCAGAA